Molecule: ribosomal RNA, 460 nt
Filed under: uncultured bacterium
Lineage: Bacteria
Description: partial 16S ribosomal RNA
Rfam family: Bacterial small subunit ribosomal RNA
Source: RNAcentral
CCUACGGGAGGCAGCAGUGAGGAAUAUUGGUCAAUGGCCGGAAGGCUGAACCAGCCAUGCCGCGUGAAGGUCAGUGCCCUAUGGGCGUUAAACUUCUUUUGUGCGGGAGCAAUAAUGGUCACGUGUGGCCAGACGAGAGUACCGUACGAAUAAGCAUCGGCUAACUCCGUGCCAGCAGCCGCGGUAAUACGGGGGAUGCAAGCGUUAUCCGGAUUUAUUGGGUUUAAAGGGUGCGUAGGCUGUGAGGUAAGUCGGCGGUGAAAUGCCCCCGCUCAACGGGGUGAAGCGCCAUUGAUACUGCCUGGCUGGAAUGCGGAUGCCGUGGGAGGAAGGUGUGGUGUAGCGGUGAAAUGCAUAGAGAUCACACAGAACACCGAUUGCGAAGGCAUCUCACGAAUCCGCGAUUGACGCUGAUGCACGAAAGCGUGGGUAUCAAACAGGAUUAGAUACCCUUGUAGUC